Molecule: ribosomal RNA, 508 nt
Filed under: uncultured bacterium
Lineage: Bacteria
Description: partial 16S ribosomal RNA
Rfam family: Bacterial small subunit ribosomal RNA
Source: RNAcentral
AUUGAACGCUGGCGGCAGGCCUAACACAUGCAAGUCGAGCGGCAGCGGGAAAGUAGCUUGCUACUUUUGCCGGCGAGCGGCGGACGGGUGAGUAAUGCCUGGGGAUCUGCCCAGUCGAGGGGGAUAACAGUUGGAAACGACUGCUAAUACCGCAUACGCCCUACGGGGGAAAGGAGGGGACCUUCGGGCCUUUCGCGAUUGGAUGAACCCAGGUGGGAUUAGCUAGUUGGUGGGGUAAUGGCUCACCAAGGCGACGAUCCCUAGCUGGUCUGAGAGGAUGAUCAGCCACACUGGAACUGAGACACGGUCCAGACUCCUACGGGAGGCAGCAGUUGGGAAUAUUGCACAAUGGGGGAAACCCUGAUGCAGCCAUGCCGCGUGUGUGAAGAAGGCCUUCGGGUUGUAAAGCACUCUCAGCGAGGAGGAAAGGUUGGUAGCUAAUAACUGCCAGCUGUGACGUUACUCGCAGAAGAAGCACCGGCUAACUCCGUGCCAGCCGCCGCAGUAA